Etheostoma spectabile (orangethroat darter) is the source of this 114-nucleotide long non-coding RNA. RefSeq lists it as uncharacterized. The transcript has 3 exons. Lineage: Eukaryota; Metazoa; Chordata; Actinopteri; Perciformes; Percidae. The record is from RefSeq and is a predicted model, not a curated record.
AUGCAAAGGCGACGAGAAGGGUUUGUGGUGACUUUGCCUGGAAUGCUACCAAGUCAUGAGUUGUGACUUGAAGUCAUAACUUACGGGCUAAAAACUGAGUCUGGAACGCAGCAU